Molecule: ribosomal RNA, 440 nt
Filed under: Enorma massiliensis
Lineage: Bacteria; Bacillati; Actinomycetota; Coriobacteriia; Coriobacteriales; Coriobacteriaceae
Description: bacterial SSU rRNA
Rfam family: Bacterial small subunit ribosomal RNA
Source: RNAcentral
CCUACGGGAGGCAGCAGUGGGGAAUCUUGCGCAAUGGGGGGAACCCUGACGCAGCGACGCCGCGUGCGGGAUGGAGGCCUUCGGGUCGUGAACCGCUUUCAGCAGGGACGAGACUGACGGUACCUGCAGAAGAAGCCCCGGCUAACUACGUGCCAGCAGCCGCGGUAAUACGUAGGGGGCGAGCGUUAUCCGGAUUCAUUGGGCGUAAAGCGCGCGUAGGCGGCCGCGCAGGCGGGGGGUCAAAUCCCGGGGCUCAACCCCGGGCCGCCCCCCGAACCGCGCGGCUUGGGUCCGGCAGGGGAGGGUGGAACGCCCGGUGUAGCGGUGGAAUGCGCAGAUAUCGGGCGGAACACCGGUGGCGAAGGCGGCCCUCUGGGCCGGCACCGACGCUGAGGCGCGAGAGCCGGGGGAGCGAACAGGAUUAGAUACCCUGGUAGUCC